UAGGGAAUAUUGGGCAAUGGAGGGAACUCUGACCCAGCCAUGCCGCGUGCAGGAUGAAGGCGUUAUGCGUUGUAAACUGCUUUUAUAUAGGAAGAAAUAGUCCUUGCGAGGAAAGUUGACGGUACUAUAUGAAUAAGCACCGGCUAACUCCGUGCCAGCAGCCGCGGUAAUACGGAGGGUGCAAGCGUUGUCCGGAUUUAUUGGGUUUAAAGGGUGCGUAGGCGGUUUAUUAAGUCAGUGGUGAAAGACGGUCGCUCAACGAUUGCAGUGCCAUUGAUACUGGUAGACUUGAGUAUGAUUGAGGUAGCUGGAAUGGAUAGUGUAGCGGUGAAAUGCAUAGAUAUUAUCCAGAACACCAAUUGCGUAGGCAAGUUACUAAGUCAUAACUGACGCUGAGGCAC
This 401-nucleotide ribosomal RNA is filed under the name uncultured bacterium. RNAcentral's name for it is "bacterial SSU rRNA". It matches the Rfam family "Bacterial small subunit ribosomal RNA", at positions 355 to 754 of the family's 1533-position model. The record is from RNAcentral.